UACGUAGGGGGCUAGCGUUGUCCGGAUUUAUUGGGCGUAAAGAGCUCGUAGGCGGCUCGGUAAGUCGGGUGUGAAAACUCGGGGCUCAACCCCGAGACGCCACUCGAUACUGCUGUGGCUUGAGUCCGGUAGGGGAGUGUGGAAUUCCUGGUGUAGCGGUGAAAUGCGCAGAUAUCAGGAGGAACACCGAUGGCGAAGGCAGCACUCUGGGCCGGUACUGACGCUGAGGAGCGAAAGCGUGGGGAGCAAACAGG
Molecule: ribosomal RNA, 254 nt
Filed under: uncultured bacterium
Lineage: Bacteria
Description: partial 16S ribosomal RNA
Rfam family: Bacterial small subunit ribosomal RNA
Source: RNAcentral